UGUCUGUAUCUUUUUUUUUAAAUUAGUUAGUUUAGACAGUACAUAAAUACUUUUCAUUUUUUUUUUUCUUAGUUAGGCCUACGGUGAGCUAGAGUUUGCUUUUGCUGUUUUUCCACAUUAUUUCCGUUUCACGCACGAUUCCGCAUUCAUGCACGUCGGAAAUGCGUGCGUGCGUGCGUGCCUGCAAACGUGCGUGCACGCCCAAGUCCGCGCAAAAAUCAUAUCCCACCCGUUACGCGUUACGCAAUUUCAUUUUCAAUUACCUACCCCUUUCGUAAAUGUGUCGCCGAUGCCGCAAAUACCCCUUGCAUUUACUUUGUAAACGCUGUUGAAAAAGCCAACUGUCUAAAAA
Molecule: long non-coding RNA, 352 nt
Organism: Trachymyrmex septentrionalis
Lineage: Eukaryota; Metazoa; Arthropoda; Insecta; Hymenoptera; Formicidae
Exons: 2
Source: RefSeq, a predicted model, not a curated record